GCGGCAAUAACUCAAUGGCAGAGUGUCACCUUCCCAAGGUGAAGGCUGCGGGUUCGAAUCCCGUUUGCCGCUCCA
RNAcentral lists this transfer RNA (75 nucleotides) under Clostridium polyendosporum. RNAcentral's name for it is "tRNA-Gly". It matches the Rfam family "tRNA". From Rfam's summary of the family: Transfer RNA (tRNA) molecules are approximately 80 nucleotides in length. Their secondary structure includes four short double-helical elements and three loops (D, anti-codon, and T loops). The record is from RNAcentral. Lineage: Bacteria; Bacillati; Bacillota; Clostridia; Eubacteriales; Clostridiaceae.